UAUCAAUGGUUUUGGACUUUUCGUGAAAAAUCUCUGUUAAUAAGGAUUAAAAUGAUAAAAAUACCCUUAAUUUAAUAAAUAAGGACAAAAUGACUUGACAAAACUCGAGAAUAUUUUUUUAUUUGAUCCUAUUUAACGAAGAUUUUUUACAAAUUAUUUAAAAUAAUGGUGAAAAAAAUCAAAACUAAUUAUAUUGAUUUUUAACCUCAAAAAAAAAAAAACAAAAUAAAGAGAUACUUAAAAAUUAUUUUGAUUAAAAAGUCUAUUUUCGUUGAGUGAAUAAAAUACGAAAUUAAGAAUUAAAAAAGGGAACUGUUAUUAGCACUUUAAGAAGACAUUUGUUUGCCCUCAUUAAGUGAGAUUGGACUAGACUGGAUUAUGUGUUAGUGUAGUUCAUGUUUGUUAGAGGAAGGGAGACAUUUUGCGAGGCUUGACAUGUUAUUGGCAUGCCAUUUUGCGACGCUUGGCAUGUCAUUGGCAUGCCAUGGUCGACAUUUUGCGAGGCUUGGCAACGAUCAAAUACCGUCCUAGUCUCAACCAUAAACGAUACCGACCAGGGAUCGGCAUAUGUUACUUUUAGGACUCUGCCGGCCAACAACCCACGAAAUAUGUUCACAUGACUUGGGACCCCAAUAUAAGACGGUCCACUUUUGCCAUUCAUUAAUCGUCCAACAACCACGAACUGUAACUAGCUUCAGUGGGAUUAAACUCACUCGACUACGGGGCUCGCUAGAUAGUCUUAGCGAGACCCCCAAAUACCACUGGAUUGCUAAGACCAUUCUUUUCUCUCGCGUUGUUCCACUCGACUCCUUGCUCUGCUCGACUCCUCAUCUUGCUUGACAACCUUGCUGGACCAUCUCAGGACCACCGCCUGUGUCCUCGUAAAUCACGGCUUCCUCUGCCACUUUCUCUUCUUAGUUUUCUUCAAUUUUGUUUUGAAGAUUCGUGAAAUUAUUACUAGCUUUUGAUAGAUUUUUGUUUUUGAUCGAUUUGUGGGUUUGAUUGAUUUCUCAGAUUUGAUUGGUUUCUGGGUUUUGAUUGCUACCCAUUUGUUUUCAAUUUAUCUGCUAUUUUUCCUUUUAUGAAUUGAUUGAUAAGUUUUUGUAAGUUGAAGUGAUUUUUUUCCUCAUUCCUUGCUUUCGUUUUGCUAGAAAUUUGAUGUUAUCAUAUUUUGGUUUAAUCUUUAUCCAAAACUUCCCGAUUUUCUUACAGUUCCACUACGAGAUAUUGAGAACUGCAAGAGUUGCAAGAGCCACUAAAUCUGCAGGUUUCUCUCAACUGGCAGACAAGGAAACAAUACGAGGACCACAAAAAGUCACCAUGAGGUAUUGGAAUCCUUGAUUUUCAAUUUGUCAAUCGGGAAGGCCAAAUGGCAUUGGCUUUUGCAGUUUAUUCUGGCGUAUUAUCUUGGUGUUAUUGUGGUCAUUUAUGAUGUUUUAUUGACUGAAAUUAAUGGAUGGGUUAAUUGGUAUCUUGUGGGAUGCAUUAGAACUAUUUUCAGUUGAAAAUUUGUGUAUAUUUUCAGUUGGGGAAGUUGAACCUAGUACUGCUUUUCUAGUAAUUUUUCUCUAAUUUUCAGCUUUUGGGUUGUUCUUGGUUGUGUUGUUUGUCAAGUACUGCUUUUCUGGUAAUUUUUCUCUAAUUUUCAGCUUUUUGGGUUGUUCUUGGUUGUGUUGUUUGUGGUUGAUUUGCUUCUGCACUGGCUUUUUUUUUCUUCUGGUUUUCUGCAUCUGGGUUCUCUAGCUAGGCAUUUUCUUGUGCCUGGUUCGUGCGAAAAAUCGAAGCUUGAGCAAUUUUAUGUAGAACUUUGUUUGCUCAAGCUGGGAGCUUGAGAUCACAAGGUUUAGUUCAUAUUUCGUUUCAAAAAUGCUAAGUGGGGUAAGUUAAGAAAUUGUUGGAGGAGAUGAAGAAUUGUUGCUUUUGUUCCCUAUUGUCUGUCAGUUGUUGAGAAUAAGAGUAUAUCAUGUCUAAAUUGGAAUGUUUGGUUUUGGUUUGCGGAGUUUGUUUUAGGACUGCGAUUUAGCAUCUAGCAUUUUUGUUCUUGAUAAUUAGAUUCACUUGCGAUGAGCCUUGCAAGUUGUGUUUACGUAUGCGAUCUCUCGUGCUCUUUUUGUUAUUCACUUUUUCAUCCCCUUUUCAUGUUGUAUAUUAUUUGGCAGUGCACAUUAUAUUAUGAAUGCCAUUGAUAAUACUCAAAGUUGUAGCUGAACUUUGGUUUUUGUUCAUCACAAUCUCAUCACAUUUUGUAUGGGGUUCAUUUCUUUCAGUUUAGGAGUUACGAGCUAAUUGCAGGGCAUUGGAGGUUGAAGUGUGGUUGGUACAAAUGAUGAGUGGAAAAUGGAUUGGAGGCAUGAUUUUCCUCCUAGUUGGCAUGUUCACCAA
RNAcentral lists this long non-coding RNA (2382 nucleotides) under Malus domestica (apple). RNAcentral describes it as "long non-coding RNA (MDOM_LNC003510)". The record is from RNAcentral. Lineage: Eukaryota; Viridiplantae; Streptophyta; Magnoliopsida; Rosales; Rosaceae.